CCACGAUAAUGCAAUCUCUACCGGGGUAUCUCCAAGUCAGUACACGGUAAAGUUUGUAGGUGUUCACUACGGUUCUGGGACAACUCGACCCAUGGGAACGACACCCACAGAACGGAGAAACAACCACGAAGAGGAAUUAUGUUGAUCGAGCGUCGAGUGAACAGUGCAACAGGAAAUGCCCCCAUCUAGUGACGUAAUAAUAAAGCAGUGGUUAAAGUGAUCACGUGAAUCUGGAACAAACUAUUGUUUUGUUUUACGACACGUUGUGGCUUUAUAGUUUCACGUAUGUUUUCUGCGCGUUUCAAGUUGCAAUUGACCCAUAUAUUGUGGUUUUCACUAUUCGUUCUUAAUAAAUUUCAAUACACCUACGCUGCCACCACGCGAUUUUCGGAAAAUAUUGACAUACUUACGCUCCUUCUAAUUUCACCUGAAAACGUUGUUUUUAAAAAUUAUUUAUGCCUGUUUUUGGCGCAAAUGUCAUGAUUUUAACAUUUACAGUAACGACACAUAAACCAUUAAUUACUCAUUCAGAGCGCUGUUAAAAAGUGCGGGGCUCACAAACAUUUGUAGUUCUAAAUAGGACAUGGUUUACAUUUUUAAAUUUUCAAAAUUAAAAAAUUAAUAAGACAACGCCGCAUUUCCAUAUCAAAUUAUUGUUGACAAAGUCAACGGAAACUACAUAUGAGAAAGCAAACUGUUGUAAAUAACCAUAAAUACGAACUAAACCACGAAACAUUUGUUCUUAACAAAGGCCAGCCACAAACGUAAAUAACUUAAUAGAAAACAGUUUUGAUACGUUGUGUGCUAGACGUUUUUCAUUUUUUUCCUUGGAUAAAUUCUCCGGAAAAUAAUCAAUACUUUUUUCAUCUAAUUUCGACCGCCAUUUUGCUCUGAUAACAAUGCACGUGUUUCCUCAUUUUAAUAUGAAACAAUAGUAAUAAAACAUUUUAACUUUGCAUUGAUUAUGACGUUCAGAGAUUCGUUAAGAUUUGUUAAGCUUAUCCAUGCGCAGUAUUAUUUUAAAGCAUAAAUAAUAAUAAUAAACAAAACACAAAUAUAGUGACUCAUAAUUAAGUAUUCAAAUACUGCAAAAUCGUUUGUUUUAAUUAUUAUUACUAUAUUUUACGUACCACAUCGCAAGUGUUUGGCCCGCCUUGGUUAAAAUUAUUCACCGUCAAAUUAAAAAACUAUGGUGACUAACAUUUUUAACGCACCUACCUAAAACUUAUGAUCAAUUUUACGCAUUUUAAGGUGAAGUCUUUUAAAAAUAAAAUAAAUCUGCAAAUAAUCUACCGAAAAGUUGUAUAUUUUUUAACACAAAAUGAAAAUCUGAUGCUAUCUGUUCCGACAGAUCUGCAGUUUUUUACUUCUUGUGUUUUUCAGUUUUUAUUUUUAGUGAAUAUGUUUUCAUAUAUAUUAAAGAAACUCCUAAAGCUACAUUUUGUGUUGCACAUGAUUGUAUUUAAUUUAAAAACAGAAAUAACAAAUUUGGGAACUACAAAGCGAUUAAUUGCAACGUUGUUAAAGUAAAAAUUCUUAGAUACAAAACAUUUUAGGUUACUUAAAAAUCGAAAAAUUUUUAUUGAAAAUUUUGAAUGCAAGAAAUUUAAUACCAUUUUUAUAAAAUUAAGUAGUAUCAAUCGAAUUUUCUCAACAUACAAUAAAGUUUCCUCGUCUGUCGCUUUAUUAAUAUUAAUGUAUUAGGUAUGCGUAAUUAUGAAAAAACACCUUGACUAACCGCACAGGUAAAAUGCUAUAAAUGUCAUGUUAUGCACAAUAUUUUUCAUGUGCUUGUACUAGUUUUUCAUACUUUUACAUAGUACUCAUCCAGUUAUUGAAAUAUUGCAGCGAUAUUUUAAUGCUUGGCAUUAUUAGUAGGUAUUCGUAAAAUUAUAUCACAGAAUAAAAUACUACUUGAAAGUCAUCGAACUUCUGGAAUUAAAACAGUUUAACCACAAAUAAAUCUUACAAUCAGAAUGCAAAUAAUUUAUUAUUUUAUUUUACCACACUGGUACUGUAAAGAAGUAUUUUCCCCCUAAAAACUAUCUAUUCAGUGACAAACGGUUUUUAAGAAUGGGCAUAGAACGAAUUAAUUAAUAAACAGGUCUUGGAAAAGCAGUGAGAAUUUUAUUUAAGCGAAGUAAAAAAAACUAUAGUGACUGAAUAAAAAAUAAAAUAAGCGGCAUCAAGGGUGUCCAGAAAAUACAACUUUUAGCAUGACACAGUAAAGACAUUCGUUCCGUUCUUAAAGCAAUACUUUAUAAAUCGUUUAACGUGUUAUAAAUUAUUUAUUUAUUUAAGAAAUAACUUUCGUUAGAAUGACAAUGAAACUCGCUAGUGAUAAGAGGAAAAUAUCGUUUUCGUAGUUAAUUGUAAAGUUGUUAAUUUCAAUGAAAAAUGUAUUUUGUUGAAGGCACCCUAAUCGCACUGUUGGGAUUUAGAAACGAAUUAAUAACAGAUUUUUAUUUUCCGUUAUUAAAUUUCACACGUAGAUAGUCUCACCGGAUCUCUCACACAGAUGAAGUUUUGUCUAAGAAUUGCACCUGAGGAAGACGGAAACGAUCUUCAAAUCGUCGGCAAUAUCUAUAGAAUAAUGGUUGCAAGUACGAAAUGCAUCAUAUACUUAUGCCUUCUUCCUCUGUCUAUGUGUGAGGACGCGUGUACCUAUCGAAGCAAUUGUAUACUUUAAAAUUUUCCGUCCGAAGAUUAUUGUGACAACGAUAAAAUAAUAACCAAAAAUUUAUAGAUUAAUCUCUUUCAAAAGAAUGAAUAGUGUAAUUUUUUAAUCCACUCUAAUUUGAAUUUUGUGUUGUAAAAAAAAAUCACAACCAAUUUCCUAAAGUUUUAUUCAACUAAUGUUGACUUAAGAAAUAUUAGUCAAAAUUUAUUUGUUAAUUCUUUGGGAAAGAAAAAUACGCUCCGAAAUAUGGCAUUAUUUCUCCGUCAAUAAUGUUCUUUUUUAAGAAUUUACAAAGAAUAUCAGUAAAAAUAAUAUACCUGAACUAAUUUAUGUUAUCCAUCCUUUCAAACACGGCUCAACUAAUUUAUGUAAAAUUUUGGGAACAUAUUACUUUUGUAUUGGAUAGUACCUACACGUUGUUACAUACAACACAAUCAAAAAUAAAAUAUGUAUCCGCACCAACCAAAAAAUGUUGCAAACGUGAUAUCUUCCUGAUUGCAAUAAGUUAUUCUGCGAAACUUAUUUCAGUUGCAUAUUCGUGAAUGCCACACAGAAACGGUGACAUUUCGUAUACUGCAAUACUGCAAAGCCAAGGGAAGUCCCGAUUUUCACACAUGUGUGACUACUUUCAAAGGAACAUGUUAAAAGUUUGUUAGACAACCAUGUAAACUUUGUAUUAUUAUUAUUUUUUAUAAAUAUAUACAUGUCUUCUGUUCAAAUGUUGGUAUUUAGUUCUAUAAACUUUAACAAAUAAACAUGGUUUUCAUAUCAAUAAUUGUUUUCAAAACCUAGAUUUUAUUUUCAACACUUGUAACUCUUGUCAGGGCUGUUGUGUCCUAGUGAACGCCCUACAUAAAAAAUAAGUAGGUAUAUACCUACUAGAGCGAGAACACAAAGAUCCUUUUUCAAAUUUUAUUUCCUCCAAAAUCCAACAGUAUUAAUCAGCCAUUAAUCACAAUUUGACUAAUGAAUCAGUAUUUCUACAGCCAAAACACUUCUAAAUUCAUGCCAGUAAUGAAGCACAGAAAAAAUGUUUAUUGAAAAAAAUCGAUAUGUGCUUGGUAAUAAACUGUUAGAACAAAGUCUGAGUGUAGAGGUUAAAAGGUCAACUCAUCGGCAAUACUAAUUAAAACUCUAGAAAUUCGUUUAUGAUUUCUCUUUCUUUAUUCCUCUGUUUGUUAUGUAAACAUCUUAUCACACCAUCGUUUAAAAAUAG
Long non-coding RNA from Zophobas morio, 3896 nucleotides. RefSeq lists it as uncharacterized. The record is from RefSeq and is a predicted model, not a curated record. The transcript is spliced from 3 exons. Lineage: Eukaryota; Metazoa; Arthropoda; Insecta; Coleoptera; Tenebrionidae.